RNAcentral lists this non-coding RNA (27 nucleotides) under Bombyx mori (domestic silkworm). Lineage: Eukaryota; Metazoa; Arthropoda; Insecta; Lepidoptera; Bombycidae. The record is from RNAcentral.
UGCCUUGUAUGGACCUAGAACCGUCUA